RNAcentral lists this ribosomal RNA (261 nucleotides) under uncultured archaeon. RNAcentral describes it as "partial 16S ribosomal RNA". It matches the Rfam family "Archaeal small subunit ribosomal RNA", at positions 748 to 1009 of the family's 1478-position model. The record is from RNAcentral.
CAGCCCUAAACGAUGCGCGUUAGGUGUAUCGGUGACCACGAGUCACCGAGGUGCCGAAGGGAAACCGUGAAACGUGCCGCCUGGGAAGUACGGUCGCAAGGCUGAAACUUAAAGGAAUUGGCGGGGGAGCACUACAACGGGUGGAGCCUGCGGUUUAAUUGGACUCAACGCCGGAAAACUCACCGGGGGCGACAGCAAUAUGUAGGUCAAGCUAAAGACUUUACCAGAAUCGCUGAGAGGAGGUGCAUGGCGUAGACGUCU